This 347-nucleotide ribosomal RNA is filed under the name uncultured bacterium. RNAcentral's name for it is "bacterial SSU rRNA". It matches the Rfam family "Bacterial small subunit ribosomal RNA", at positions 8 to 349 of the family's 1533-position model. The record is from RNAcentral.
AGAGUUUGAUCAUGGCUCAGGAUGAACGCUAGCUACAGGCUUAACACAUGCAAGUCGAGGGGCAUCAGUUUGGUUUGCUUGCAAACCAAAGCUGGCGACCGGCGCACGGGUGAGUAACACGUAUCCAACCUGCCUCAUACUCGGGGAUAGCCUUUCGAAAGAAAGAUUAAUAUCCGAUAGCAUAUAUUUCCCGCAUGGGUUUUAUAUUAAAGAAAUUCGGUAUGAGAUGGGGAUGCGUUCCAUUAGUUGUUGGCGGGGUAACGGCCACCGAAGACUACGAUGGAUAGGGGUUCUGAGAGGAGGUCCCCANAUUGGAACUGAGACACGGUCCAAACUCCUACGGAGCA